This is a small nuclear RNA of Hemiscyllium ocellatum (epaulette shark), 182 nucleotides long. RefSeq annotates it as U2 spliceosomal RNA. The transcript has a single exon. Lineage: Eukaryota; Metazoa; Chordata; Chondrichthyes; Orectolobiformes; Hemiscylliidae. The record is from RefSeq and is a predicted model, not a curated record.
AUCGCUUCUCGGCCUUUUGUUUAUGAUCAUGUGUAGUUCUGUUCUUGUCAGUUUUAAUAUCUGAUAUGUCCUUAUUUUCUCUCCAUAUAAUAAUGGGCGCCUGGGGGGCACAGUGCUUAGCACUGCUGCUUCACAGCAACAGGGACCUGUGUUCAAUUCCCGCCUCAGGCGACUGACUGUGU